CCAUAGCUCAACUGGAUAGAGCAACGCACUUCUAAUGCGUAGGUUACAGGUUCAAGUCCUGUUGGG
This 66-nucleotide transfer RNA is filed under the name marine eukaryotic metagenome. It matches the Rfam family "tRNA", at positions 5 to 66 of the family's 71-position model. From Rfam's summary of the family: Transfer RNA (tRNA) molecules are approximately 80 nucleotides in length. Their secondary structure includes four short double-helical elements and three loops (D, anti-codon, and T loops). The record is from RNAcentral.